CCUACGGGAGGCAGCAGUGGGGAAUUUUGGGCAAUGGGCGCAAGCCUGACCCAGCAACGCCGCGUGAAGGAAGAAGGCUUUCGGGUUGUAAACUUCUUUUCUCAGGGACGAAGCAAGUGACGGUACCUGAGGAAGAAGCCACGGCUAACUACGUGCCAGCAGCCGCGGUAAUACGUAGGAGGCAAGCGUUAUCCGGAUUUACUGGGUGUAAAGGGCGUGUAGGCGGGAAAGCAAGUCAGAUGUGAAAACCAUGGGCUCAACCUGUGGCCUGCAUUUGAAACUGUUUUUCUUGAGUACUGGAGAGGCAGCCGGAAUUCCUAGUGUAGCGGUGAAAUGCGUAGAUAUUAGGAGGAACACCAGUGGCGAAGGCGGUUUGCUGGACAGUAACUGACGCUGAGGCGCGAAAGCGAGGGGAGCAAACAGGAUUAGAUACCCCAGUAGUC
This 443-nucleotide ribosomal RNA is filed under the name uncultured bacterium. RNAcentral describes it as "partial 16S ribosomal RNA". It matches the Rfam family "Bacterial small subunit ribosomal RNA", at positions 338 to 795 of the family's 1533-position model. The record is from RNAcentral.